GAUGAACGCUGGCGGCGUGCCUAAUACAUGCAAGUCGAGCGAACAGAUAAGGAGCUUGCUCCUUUGACGUUAGCGGCGGACGGGUGAGUAACACGUGGGUAACCUACCUAUAAGACUGGGAUAACUUCGGGAAACCGGAGCUAAUACCGGAUAACAUUUGGAACCGCAUGGUUCUAAAGUGAAAGAUGGUUUUGCUAUCACUUAUAGAUGGACCCGCGCCGUAUUAGCUAGUUGGUAAGGUAACGGCUUACCAAGGCAACGAUCCGUAGCCGACCUGAGAGGGUGAUCGGCCACACUGGAACUGAGACACGGUCCAGACUCCUACGGGAGGCAGCAGUAGGGAAUCUUCCGCAAUGGGCGAAAGCCUGACGGAGCAACGCCGCGUGAGUGAUGAAGGGUUUCGGCUCGUAAAACUCUGUUAUUAGGGAAGAACAAACGUGUAAGUAACUGUGCACGUCUUGACGGUACCUAAUCAGAAAGCCACGGCUAACUACGUG
This 497-nucleotide ribosomal RNA is filed under the name uncultured bacterium. Its description in RNAcentral is "partial 16S ribosomal RNA". It matches the Rfam family "Bacterial small subunit ribosomal RNA", at positions 28 to 507 of the family's 1533-position model. The record is from RNAcentral.